RNAcentral lists this long non-coding RNA (978 nucleotides) under Ictidomys tridecemlineatus (thirteen-lined ground squirrel). RNAcentral describes it as "lncRNA (ENSSTOG00000033370.1)". Lineage: Eukaryota; Metazoa; Chordata; Mammalia; Rodentia; Sciuridae. The record is from RNAcentral.
GAGAACUUUCUUGAAGCUGUUCUUUAAUCCCAUUCAAUCCAAUAGCAGUGCUGAUUCAGAAACUGCAGGAUGGUAAUCACCUUUGGCAAUGGAUACUUUCCCCUGGCUCAGUGGGAGGGAGUCGCCCCCAUCCUGCUGUCCCGGAGACCACAGGAAAAACUGCGCUCAGGUGUAGAGCCCAAUUAGCAGUCGAAAUGAGCAAUUUCAUCUUUGAAAGAGUUAUUUGUUUACUCAAGACAACCCAGAACUAUAUGAUUUCCAGGAAAAUGUCAUUCGAGAAUUGUGAACUUUGGAAGAAACUGAAACCACUUUUGUCUUUUAAAAGGCACUUAAUAAACUUACAAAUGAAAUGCUAAACAUUCUAUUUCACAUUAAAAUGAAAAAAUAUCCAAAGGAGUAGAAUCCAAUUCAAUGAGGUGAACAUACAUGAUGAAGAUCAUUUGAUUCUGCUGCACUCAGGAUUUAUAUGGUUAUUUGAUAACAUUGUUUAAGAACUACUCAGUCUUAGUGCAAUCCUAUAUGUUGCUUAAAAAUAUAACUUGUAUUAUGUGAGAAAAUAAUUCAUAGCAUUACUAGGAACCAAAAAGACCAAUCAUUAUUAAUUUUUUGAAGAUCAUAUUUUAUUAGAAAAUAGUAAAGCGUGUAUAGCUAUCUUUGUUGUAGAAAAGAUUCUGAAAGUUUAGAGUUUCAUAAGAAAUAAUCAAUAUUAAAACAUUUUUGUCCACACUGAUACUGCAUAUGAAAAGUGCCUUAAUUAUUAGUAAAUCAAUUUAUUAAGAUACCUGUAUCUAUUUUAAAAAUUAUAAAACAAACCAUGCAUCCAUCAUGAAAAAUAAUAGCAGUAAGUCAGAGAUUUACAAUCAUGUAGAAUGUUGCUGAAACUUAUUCCAUACCAUUUUUAGAACUGCAGAAUAUUCUUAUUAUCUCUUUUUUUUGCCAGAAUCGUCAUGUCACGUAUGUAUAUUAUCCCUCUAUAAA